GGGCGCAUAACUCAGCUGGUUAGAGUGCUUGCUUUACACGCAAGAUGUCCGCGGUUCGAAUCCGUGUGCGCCCA
This 74-nucleotide transfer RNA is filed under the name Treponema sp. RNAcentral's name for it is "tRNA-Val". It matches the Rfam family "tRNA". From Rfam's summary of the family: Transfer RNA (tRNA) molecules are approximately 80 nucleotides in length. Their secondary structure includes four short double-helical elements and three loops (D, anti-codon, and T loops). Lineage: Bacteria; Pseudomonadati; Spirochaetota; Spirochaetia; Treponematales; Treponemataceae. The record is from RNAcentral.